This 73-nucleotide transfer RNA is filed under the name Paramuricea clavata. It matches the Rfam family "tRNA". Rfam says of the family: Transfer RNA (tRNA) molecules are approximately 80 nucleotides in length. Their secondary structure includes four short double-helical elements and three loops (D, anti-codon, and T loops). Lineage: Eukaryota; Metazoa; Cnidaria; Anthozoa; Malacalcyonacea; Plexauridae. The record is from Rfam by way of RNAcentral.
GACUGCGUAGCUCAGUUGGCAGAGCAUUGGGCUAGUAUUCCAAAGGUCCUAGGUUCGAUUCCCACCGUGGCCA